UACGGAGGGUGCGAGCGUUAAUCGGAAUUACUGGGCGUAAAGCGCGCGUAGGCGGCCUGAUAAGUUGGAUGUGAAAGCCCCGGGCUCAACCUGGGAACUGCAUUCAAAACUGUCAGGCUAGAGUGUGGUAGAGGAUAGUGGAAUUUCAGGUGUAGCGGUGAAAUGCGUAGAGAUCUGAAGGAACAUCAGUGGCGAAGGCGGCUAUCUGGACCAACACUGACGCUGAGGUGCGAAAGCGUGGGGAGCAAACAGG
RNAcentral lists this ribosomal RNA (253 nucleotides) under uncultured Chromatiales bacterium. RNAcentral's name for it is "partial 16S ribosomal RNA". It matches the Rfam family "Bacterial small subunit ribosomal RNA", at positions 524 to 776 of the family's 1533-position model. The record is from RNAcentral. Lineage: Bacteria; Pseudomonadati; Pseudomonadota; Gammaproteobacteria; Chromatiales.